Non-coding RNA from Cyanistes caeruleus (blue tit), 5648 nucleotides. Lineage: Eukaryota; Metazoa; Chordata; Aves; Passeriformes; Paridae. The record is from RefSeq and is a predicted model, not a curated record.
GGCACCUUCGCCGCGCCCGGCCCCGAUUCCCGGGCCCCUCACAAGCUCCCUCCCCGCCGCCUCCGGGCAGCCCCCGCGGGCCAGCGGCACUCGCGGCUGUUCACCCCGCCGGGCCGGGGGUAAAGGAUGAGCGCAGGUCAGAGCCUUCGCAUCAGCCCCCACAGCCAUCCCGGGGGGCCAGGAGAGACCCUUCGUGAGGAGCCAGAUAGGGCCCUGCCCUCACGGGCUGCUCUGGGCGAGCGCGCACGAAACACACACAACACAGCACGGGCGAGGCUCUGCAGCCAUGGGAAGGGAGCAGCCACAUGCCUGAGCACCUUGCAGGCUUCCAAUGUGUGUAACAAAACCCAGCCGUCUCCAUCAGUCUCAUGCCUGCAGACUCUGCUGGAGCUGCCCUGGCCCGAGCAGCGCCUGGGGCUGAGGUUUGUGGCCAAGGAAGGAGUGACAUCCUGGGACGGGGCAACUCCAAACGCAGGUGUUGGUCCCUGCAAUGGUCAAGGCCUGGUUAUCCAGCCUGGCAGCCAAGCCACUUCAGUGAGACAUUGUCUGUAAGACUAACUUUGGAGGAUCAAAGGAAAAACUCGACAAGGCCUAAUUUCUCCUUCAAGCCCCAGGAGCUCCUUCCAUCUCUAGAGCUACACUUAAGAGUCCAGAGCAGUUGUGACAUCUCUGAGGCACCUUGUUCUGUUUUUUCUUCAUCUUCUUCUUCCUGUUGACAACUGAUGACAUCUUGGUUGCAGAAGAGUGAGGGUCCCCCCAGGACAUGGCCUCUCCAUCUGUUCCUCAAGGAAGCUCUCCCUCCAGCAACAGAUGCUGUUGUUCUCCUGCACCAUCAAUCCCUUUCAGUAAGGGACAGGGAUUAGGUGUGGGUAACACGUCUUAAGGGAAGGCAGAACAGAAGGAGCUUUUCUGCAGGACCCAGCAGCAUCUCAUCCAGACAAACCUGGCUGGGAACAUAAGUGCCAAGUUAAAGGAUGAUCUGUCCCUAAGCAAGGUGACUGUUCCAGAUCUGCUCCAAGGAGGAACUGUGGAUGCCAGAACCACAUCUAAGGGUGGACCUGGGUCCUGUGUGAUGCUGCAGCCAGAGAUUGCUCUGGCAAGGCAGCAGCACCUCCUUGCUUACAGCCAAAUGUGGAGGAACAGGCCCUGCUGCUCCUUCUUAGGGCCCAGAAAUUACAGCAGCUACUUGCAUAAUGCUGACCAGAUGGUCUCACUGCCCUGCUGCCCUCCCGCCCCAAGUGCUGCUUGCUAAGAUGUUGCUGCUUCUCCAGGACAAGGAACCUUCACUUCACUGGAACCUGCAUUACCUUGACUAUCAGGUAAGUAUGUGGUCAGCCUAGAGGCAGUGCUCACAGGACAGCUGCUGACUCCUUAUGAUUGAUCUUCACAUCAUGGAGUCAUUUAUACUCUUUCCAAGGUGUCCAAGCUGUGGUUUGUGAUGGCUUCUGUCCCCUGCUCUUCUCACAUUCUACCUUGUAACACAUGUAGAGCUCAGAUUUAUUUCUAUACUCUGCAAAAGUCUUGUAACUCCCCAUCUUCCAGUGUCACUUGGUGUCAGUUCAGAGAUGAAGAUGUUUCCUGCUCUCCAGAUGUCCAGACUGCCAAAUUUCCCUUUUAAGCAGCUCUGUGCACCCUAUCAAGGCAGGUUUAGCAUUUGUUCUGUUUCUUUCUGCAGAGCUUGGCCCAGUUCCUGUAGGGAGGACAGACACUGAGAAGUAUUACGGAUCACAAAUCUGCCCUUCUUCCCCCCACUUCUAUCCACAGAGGUCAGAACAAGUGCAGUGGUCCUGAAAUUGCUCCACAAUGUGUUUUUUUUCCCCAGUGCCUGGGUGGGAUUCCACACAAUAAAAAAAAUCUCAGUUGAAAUGAGAGCAUGUGGCUGGCUUCAGCUCACUUACUGAUCAGCUGCCUGGGGCUCUUGCUUUCCUGCCUACAGUUGUUAAAGUAGGGCUACAGCUCUGAAUUCAAACCCUACAGUGAAUAAAGGGAAGGCAUUUGGAUAUGUAGAUCUGGAGCCAUGAAUGGGAAUAGAUGCUGAACAGACAAGUGAUUACAGGCAGUAGAACCUUUACUUACUUAAAAAAGUCUGCUUUGUCUUUGAGGUGUCUAAAGCAGCAAGUGGCCGCUGGUGUCAGGUCAUUAAGGAAAUCUGCAGGCUCCAAUGGAAAACCACAAUAAACCUCUGCUCAAUCACCAAACAGCUGCUGACCUCUUUUGUGCACAUUCAGCUCAAGGUGCCUUGUCUUUCCUUCAGUCUGAAGUUCAGGAGCACACUUCAGUCUUUUCUGAUACCUAAGUUUUUAUUUAAAGACUAGGAAACCCAGCUUGGAGGGACUGUUGACACUUACUGUAGCAGGGAUGUGAGAAUAGGGAGAGAUGAAAAACAUUACUAAAAUGGGUUUAAGAGCAACUUAAGCUUGUAAGUUUGCAGGCAGAAGUAGCAAGUUAUUACUGGAGCAUUCCCUGAGGAAAAGACUGGGAAAGUUAAUUAUUUAUCAAAAAACAAAGCCUAAUGCUACUGUUUUUAACAGAACAAAAUUAAAUACAAGAAACAAUCUCCAAUACAGCCCUUCUAGAACAGUUGUUUCACUGCUCAGGAUUGAUGAAUCCACUCAAUGGGACUGCGAGAGAGAAAUCAGAUUCAUAAUUUCUGAUGGUAAUUGAGGCAUAGAAUUAUCUUUAAGCCUUGUGAGAAAAAAACCUAAAAAACCCACUUGGAAAUAGACCUAGUUCCACACAGCCUUUCAGAGAAGAGCAGAACGCACAAGGGGAAGGGAUUUUUCUGAUCAGACAUUACAAGAACCAAGGUCAAACUGGUAGGAACCAGCAUCAAUAGAGUCAACACUGGAUUUAAAGUUCCUGGUAAGCUUAAACCUUGUUCAAGACAUCCUUUAGGUGGUGCAGAAAAUGACUGACCAGCUUCCCCUCUGCUCUGACAGCUUAGCAGAUGUGACAGCUGUCACAAACUUUCCUCCCUGCCCCCACCAUUACAAAAGGACUGGAGCAGACAUCCGCCUUGCUGCAGCCGGGAGGAUCUGUUCUGUAAUUUACAGAGGAACAAGGCAGAGCCUGUACCAUGACACACUAUCGUUUUUACUGUUCCCGAGCAGCAGCUGACCAGAACCAGCCAAGACGUGCAGGUUUUGUGCCCGCUGCAGCUCGGGGGUGGGACAGGGGGUGUGUCAGCUUAAGCACGAGUUGACAAACAGCACUUAGCUUAUCUCAAGAAACCUGAGCACUCCCUCAGCAGAUGACAGAGCUGUAAAUCUUGUUAUGUAUAGCCCUAAAAGUAUCAUUAAGACAACUUAGAAUAGUUCGUUUGUAUUAGAUACGAAAAAUGUUGUCUUGCAGCUAUGCAGAGGAAAACAUCUUACAGUCGUUUGUGCACUUUGCAUCCACCUGAAAAACCGCCGGCUGUUCCAGAAGGCCUGAAGCAUCUAAUAAAAGUAUCCCUGAGAGCCUUAAACUCUUAAGAUGAAAAGGUCUCUGUAAGAAUGCAAGGCCUGAAACUGAACUUCAUUUACUUAUGGACAUUUACUUCUCUGUCUAGUUCUGGUUUCAUGGCACAGGAGGUUUCCCAGUCCAGGGUGUGAGUGGCAUGAAACUAUGUAACAGUGUGGAGAAUGGAAAAAUAAAAUUGUUUUCUGUUGAUACUCAGGCGAACUAUCACACAGAACUAGAAAGUUCUGGAGAGGAGAAGCAUCUGAAAACAAAUCAGAUUUAUGCGGUUGAACUGUUUGUUUUCUGUUGUGCAGUAGGGAGCUAUCUUGAGUUUCAUGCUUUGGUAUUUAAUAUUUGCACCACUUUCACUGGUAUAGACUGCCAAUUUUCUGUUUAUCUAUGAGCUUUAAGUUUGCCAGGAGAACAGUAAGGAGACUGAAACUUUAAAUAACAAGGAAGUUCUCUGGGUAUGUGUUUGUCUUGUUCUCUGCUGCUCCAAACAGUAUUUGAGAUAUCCACCUUAAUUUUGACUUAGGAAAAGAAAUCAAUACAUGUCACUGAAGAACACAUAAUACAAGUAGGACAGAGAACUGAGGCUGCUGGAAUCAAUGUCUCUCUGAAUGCUGUUAUCUGAAAUACAGUGACACAGUAGAAAUUGAUAAAGAGCAUGAUAUUUAACCAGACUGAUUCUUCUGCUCCACAUCCAUAUUUUCCCCCUCCAACCCCACCAUGUGGAGCCUAUAUAGAUUUGAAAGCCCCAAAUACAGCAAGCAGGAUGUUCUGUGAUGGUGGGUCAUCACAUCAGUGCCUCAAUCCAGUCUGAAGAAUCUCUCACAGCAGUCUCCUGAGCCCUGUGCUGUGGCAGCUACUAUUCUUGAUACAAACCAGAUCUGAUAGCUCCACACUCCAGCUUUUCCUCUGGCUAAAGGAUGUUCCCAUUGCUUUCUAGCAAUUUCAAGUGACUUGUUCAUUUUGGAGUAGCUUUGACAGGAAUGGGUCUUAAAUGAAAAACAUCCAAGAACUGAGUCAGCGACGGGGGAAAUACAACCUCUGCAAGCUGGGUCAGGACUGAAAGUCUAAGCAAGAGUCACUCCACCCAGGAAAGAUUAGUACUGCUCUAGUUGGUGCGAGAGCUGCUGUCAGGUUGGCAGAUCCUGCCCACAGACCAAGUUUGUGAAUGGUUCCUUCAACCCCACAGGCUGCUGUGAAACAACAGAGGGGGCUGGGAGCCCACAGAGCCUGCUGAGAGAAAGCAAUCGAAACUCAUGGACAAAACAAGUGGUUUGAUGCUAACUUUAGUAAGUAAAGUUUUCCAGAUAAAGGCAAUUGCAUCCAUAUUUAACAGCUGUUAAAGAGAUAUACAUUUAAUUGCAUUAUAUAAGGAGUGCUUUAUAUUCAAGAGAAAACAUUUCAAAUGUCUUAGUUCUACCUGUUUGGAAUCCAGACUUUCUCCUUAGAAGAUAUUCCAGUUGACAAAAAGGGCCUUGUUCAGAUAUCUGGGAUCAACUGAAUACAUUUAUUUAAAAGCAAUUUUAAAUAUUAAAAAAGUAGAAAUUAACACAUACAGUACUCAAAAACUGUCACAUUAAAUACAUGUGAAUAGACAUGUGUACUGAUGUUUUACCUUAACAUUCAAUGAGAAGUCAAGAUUUUAACUAGUGGCAUGACCAGAUCUGAUUUCUGUACACGCUGAUGUACUAUGUAAUAAAAAAAUAAAUAGCAACUGUUGUUCAACAGUAAAUAAGACAUCAUCUGCAGAGCAAACUUCCCCCUCUGGGGGCACCUUCCCCUGCCCCUCCCCCCAACCCUUUAUCAGCUAAUUUUCCAUAAAGAUUUAGACUUUCCAAAUACUAUGUCAUAUACAAAAUUGCAGACAGUGGCUCAUUGAGUUCAAAUAUAAUACUGUACUUAAACUCAAUCAAUAUCAUACAUUUUCAGAUUUCUUAUGAUCCACAAUAAGCCAGAAUAAACAGAACUAUUGUUCCUUAUGGAACUCAUUUAAUUUUAUAAAAUGCAUAUGUAUACUAUUUUAAAGAGCGUAGAAAAGAAUAGACAUUUGACUCUACAUAAUUUUACAUGCCUAGGUUUUCUUUAUAUGAUUUGCAUUUAUCAGUUUAUUUCAAGAUCACUUAAAAAUACAACUGACCACAAAAGUGAAUAGGUUUUGUUCUUUAAUGCAACUUAAAACAUUGUAGUAAUGGAUAAAA